UAAAACGUAGGAGGCAAACGUUAUCCGGAUUUACUGGGCGUAAAGCGCGUGUAGGUGGUUUGUUAAGUAGGGCGUGAAAGCUCCUGGCUCAACUGGGAGAGGUCGUUCUAAACUAACAGACUAGAGGAUGGUAGAGGGAGGUGGAAUUCCGGGUGUAGCGGUGGAAUGCGCAGAUAUCCGGAGGAACACCAGUGGCGAAAGCGGCCUCCUGGACCAACCCUGACACUCAGACGCGAAAGCUAGGGUAGCAAACGGG
This 256-nucleotide ribosomal RNA is filed under the name uncultured bacterium. Its description in RNAcentral is "partial 16S ribosomal RNA". It matches the Rfam family "Bacterial small subunit ribosomal RNA", at positions 521 to 776 of the family's 1533-position model. The record is from RNAcentral.